AAGAGAAUGCUUGCAUUUAAGAAACAAGAAGGAACAUGGAAGGACCAGAGGUAGAACAAACUGAAAGGAAGGUGGAGCACCGGUGUCAUAGAUCCUGAGGCAGAUGAAGUUAAACCAUGAAAAAGAGAAAAGUGACCCAUGUGGUUGUGGUGUGAGAGAAAUUCACUCUUUAAAUAUGCACUGAGGAGACUUCUGUUCCCAGGAAGAUGAAGUAGACAUCCUUUUUCCUAUUUCUGCCACUAAAUAAAGCUAAAAACUCUGGACAUUUUGUAUAAAACAAACAUAUGAAGCUUCGGAAAGUUGGAAAGAAGACAGAUCGGCUAAGGACCUCAUGACCAGUAGAAAGACAUGGUAGUGAAGUCUCUAGAUUUUCUUUUUGCUUCAUAGGUCUCUGGUCAGGUACUGGAGAAGCUAGCAAUCCAGAAAUUCCAAUGGGCUUGGACACAGUCACGGGCCAGUGGAGAACACGUGGGGAGUCUGGACUUCCACUCGCUCCCACCCAGUAGCUACAAGGUACCUCACCCCCAGGGUCAGUGGAGGGCACGUGGAGAGCACUAAUGAGGUGCCCCUGGAACUUCUAUCUCUAUCUUGGCAGUAAUGAGGCAGCAUCCUCCCUUCCUCUGAGGGAGUGGUGUCAGAGGAGGCCUGCUAAAAUACAAGAUUUAAAUAAGGUCCAGUCUUUUUAAUAUAAAACCCCAAAUGUCCAAGAAUCAAUGGAAAAUCACUCAUCGUAACAAGGAAGACCUCAACUUGAAUGAGAAAAGACAAUCAACAGAUGCUGAGACUGAAAUGAAACUGAUGUUAGUAUCAUCUGACAAGGAUUUUGAAGCAGCCACCAUCAAGGUACUUCCAUGAACAAUUACAAACAUGCUUGAAACGAAAGAAAAAAUAGAAAGUCUCAGCAAAGAAACAGAAGCUACAAAGAAAAACCAAAUAGGAAAGUUAGAACUGAAAAACACAACGGCACAAUCAGUGCACUUGAGGAUAGAACACUAGAAAUUACUCAAUCUCAACAACAGAGGAAAAAAACUAGGGGGGGCCUGGGGUGGGGAAGAGCCUCAGGGACAAGUGGGACUGUAAGAAAAGAUCUAACACUUGGGUCACUGGAGUCCCAGAAGGAAAGGUGAAAAUAGAUGGGCUGAAGGAGUAUUUGAAAAAAUAAUGGCUGAAAACUACCUAAAUUUGGGAAAAGAUAUAAACCUAUAGUUCAAGAAGCUGAGCAAACCCCAAACAGAAUAAACCCAAAGAUAUUCAUGCCAACACACAUCAUAGUUAACCUUCUGAAAACUAAGGAUGGAAAAAAAAAUCUUUUUUUUCCCCUAGAUUGGCCAUGAGCUAACAUCUGUUGCCAAUCUUUUAUUUUCUUCUUCUUCUGCCCAACCCCCCCAGUACAUAGUUGUAUAUUCUAAUUGUAGGUCCUUCUUGUUCUGCUAUGUGGGACACCACCUCAGCAUGGCCUGAUGAGCUGUGCUAGGUCCGCGCCCAGGAUCCAAACUGGCAAAACCCACGGACACUGAAGCGGAGCGAGCAGCCUUAACCACUCAGCCAUAGACCCAGCCUGGAAAAAAAAUCUUAAAAGCAACCGGCGAGAAACCAUCCAUGAAACGCUCUGAUUUUUGGCAUUAGAGGAAUAGGCUGGUCACCAGCAUUUCCUGUUGAUUUCAACUAUUAGUCUUCUGCUUUUAACUGGACUCAACCAGGCCAAGAUGUACAGAGCAUUUACAUUUACAAAUUAUGCUGGGCACCUGGGGGACAUUUAUCACCCCAUUCUUCUUAUAGCUGCCCCACUGCAGGUGUUAUCCCUCAGAGCAAAUUAAGGAAUUCCAGAAUUGGAAAGAACCUCAAAAAAAAAAAGGAAAUACAAGAGUAGAAAUUUGUAAUUUGGGAUUUCUGGAUGGGCUUCAGCUCUGUGAACUCCCUGAAAUUAAUCUAAAAAUGCCAGUAUGUAUGUGCUUUUUUCUAGGGAAAGGACCAUAGUUUUCAUCAGCUUCUCAAAGGAGCUGAUGGCCCCCAAAAGGUUAAGAGCCACCAUAAGAGUUUCUGUUCUUUUCAGGCAAACCCAUAUAAUCCAACCUAGAUAGAUUGGCUAAAAAAAAAAAAAAUGAGGCUAAAAGUAGGGAAGAUAUUCCCUAUCAUAUCCAUCAAAAUUCCUGAAUGCCACCUCAUGAUGAUUCUCUAUUUUUAAGGAGAAAAUAGGAAAACGACAGUUUCUAAUUCCUUCUAGGCACUUCUGAAAAUACAUGUGCAUUAAAGAAUGUUUGCCUGUAGUCUUAUUUUGAACAUUUUAAGAAUAGUAACUGGAGGUGACUACAUGACUAAUACACUGUGAUUUAAAAUGUACUUGAGGUUUGAUUUCUCUCAAUGCCAUUGGAAGAGUUCAGACACACGAGGAAGCCACAGCAGCCUCUCUAGAUCAGUACCAAUGGGCUGGUUUACAGUCCACAGGGCAAACUGGCCUUUUUCUGCAUUCCUUUUUCCAUCUUUCAGAAAACAAAAAAAGGCAUGUAAAAUCAAGUUCUACUACUUACACAAUGUGUAACUGCCAAUUUAUCUGAACAAAACAUGUUAGUGCUUUCUCUGGUGAAAAAACAAAAGAACUAUGACAAAUACAGAUCCAUUCAGUUUCUUCACUAUCUUGAUAGCGUGGCUGUCCCUUACUCCUUGACUCCUCUGCCAAAUCCCUCAUGCAAGCCAGCUCAGCUCACAUCUGUAUUGUAAUAUACUGUAAACAAGAUUGUAGAUUGCUCCUGCCUGUUUUCCGACCAAAAUUAAGGCUCCCAAUGUCACCUGGAGAGCUAGAGAUUGGUUAAUGCAUUAUCUUAGGGAAAAAACUUGACUACCUGCUUCCAUUAAGACCCUAAAGUAGUUUGACUU
This 2874-nucleotide long non-coding RNA is filed under the name Equus asinus (donkey). RNAcentral describes it as "lncRNA (ENSEASG00005028647.1)". Lineage: Eukaryota; Metazoa; Chordata; Mammalia; Perissodactyla; Equidae. The record is from RNAcentral.